Molecule: ribosomal RNA, 253 nt
Filed under: uncultured bacterium
Lineage: Bacteria
Description: partial 16S ribosomal RNA
Rfam family: Bacterial small subunit ribosomal RNA
Source: RNAcentral
UACGUAGGUGGCUAGCGUUGUCCGGAUUUACUGGGCGUAAAGCGCGUGUAGGUGGUUCGGUAAGUGAGCGAUUAAAGACCGGUGCUCAACACCGGGAAUGUUGCUUAUACUGUCGGACUUGAAGAUGGCAGGGGCAAGCGGAACUUUGAGUGUAGGAGUGAAAUCCGUAGAUAUUCAAAGGAACACCAAUGGCGAAGGCAGCUUGCUGGGCCUUUCUUGACACUGAGACGCGAAAGCGUGGGGAGCAAACGGG